UACGUAGGGUGCAAGCGUUGCUCGGAAUCACUGGGCGUAAAGGGCGCGUAGGCGGGAUGGCAAGUCGGUCGUGAAAUCCUUCGGCUCAACCGAAGAACGUCGGCCGAUACUGCCGUUCUUGAGGGAUGCAGAGGAGAUUGGAAUUCCCGGUGUAGCGGUGAAAUGUGUAGAGAUCGGGAGGAACACCGGUGGCGAAGGCGGGUCUCUGGGCAUCUCCUGACGCUGAGGCGCGAAAGCGUGGGGAGCAAACGGG
This 253-nucleotide ribosomal RNA is filed under the name uncultured bacterium. Its description in RNAcentral is "partial 16S ribosomal RNA". It matches the Rfam family "Bacterial small subunit ribosomal RNA", at positions 524 to 776 of the family's 1533-position model. The record is from RNAcentral.